Molecule: ribosomal RNA, 119 nt
Filed under: Pteropus alecto (black flying fox)
Lineage: Eukaryota; Metazoa; Chordata; Mammalia; Chiroptera; Pteropodidae
Source: RNAcentral
AUCUGUGGCCAUGCCACCCCGAACAAGCCCGAUCCCAUCUGAUCUCAGAAGCUAAGCAGGGUCGGGCCUGGUUAGUACUUGGAUGGGAGAUCACCUAGGAAGACCAGGUGCUGUAGGCG